UUUCAUUGGCAUUUAAUGUUGGAAGCAGAAAGGAGAAAUUUGAGGGACAUAAUUGAGAACAAAUCACACAUAAUUCUUGUACACUCCACUUCAGGAUACAAACAUAGUUUAAGAGAGGUUCUUGAUGCUCCAAAUGUGAUGAAUAUUAUAAAAGAUACAAAAGCAGCCCAAGAGGUGCGAGUUCUCAAGGAUUUCUUCACUAUGCUUACUAAUGAUCCACAUCGUGCAUGUUAAGGACCAAAGCAUGUUGAGGUUCCCC
Molecule: long non-coding RNA, 259 nt
Organism: Lactuca sativa (garden lettuce)
Lineage: Eukaryota; Viridiplantae; Streptophyta; Magnoliopsida; Asterales; Asteraceae
Source: RefSeq, a predicted model, not a curated record